Long non-coding RNA from Argiope bruennichi, 554 nucleotides. RefSeq lists it as uncharacterized. The record is from RefSeq and is a predicted model, not a curated record. NCBI's taxonomy places the organism in Eukaryota, Metazoa, Arthropoda, Arachnida, Araneae, Araneidae. The transcript has 4 exons.
CAAAUGAAAACUACAAGUUCAUAAACAGCAAAUUUCCACCAUUUGUUUCUUCUUGCUUCCUCUGAAGUAACAAACAUUUUUCUGCUGUAAAGAAGUAAAAUAAUAAAUGCUAUAGGAGAAAUUGCUCAAGAAAAUGGCAUCAGGCAAACGAAGCGCAAACUAAGCAAUUCAAGGGAUAUCUCCCAAGCAAGAUUUCUGUCAGAGUUUAGACAUAUGCUGAAAAUAAUGAAAGAUAUUUGGAUUUAUGGAAUUCACAAACAGAAUGCCACAGCACAUAUUUUACAUCUUUUGCGAAAUGUGUGAAAGCAAUAGUGUGGAAUUAGUAGGAUAGUUCUUGUUGAGAAUAAUGAUGAAGUUCGACAUAGAAUAGAAGAAGUGUCAGAUAAACUGGUCUCCCAUCAUCGUAUUUUUAGUUAGAAUCAGACAGAAAACACAAAAAAAAACUUACUUUCAGUGCUGACCUGACAACGAGCGAUUUCUUGGCUACGAGGCUUUCGAAUUUGGUAGCGUUUUUGGAUUCACAGACCACCCCUGCUGCUUCUGAAGCUGAACAG